This 253-nucleotide ribosomal RNA is filed under the name uncultured bacterium. RNAcentral's name for it is "partial 16S ribosomal RNA". It matches the Rfam family "Bacterial small subunit ribosomal RNA", at positions 524 to 776 of the family's 1533-position model. The record is from RNAcentral.
UACGUAGGAGGCGAGCGUUGUCCGGAAUUAUUGGGCGUAAAGAGCUCGUAGGCGGCUUGUCACGUCGGGUGUGAAAGCCCGGGGCUUAACCCCGGGUCUGCAUUCGAUACGGGCUAGCUAGAGUGUGGUAGGGGAGAUCGGAAUUCCUGGUGUAGCGGUGAAAUGCGCAGAUAUCAGGAGGAACACCGGUGGCGAAGGCGGAUCUCUGGGCCAUUACUGACGCUGAGGAGCGAAAGCGUGGGGAGCGAACAGG